GGGAUACCCGCUCGAAAGGGCGGCUAAGACCGCAUGGGCUCAGCGCUUCGGUGUGGUGAGCAAAGCCAUCGUGAGGUGGCGCCUGGGGAGGGGCCCGCGCCCGAUUAGCUGGUUGGUGGGGUGACGGCCUACCAAGGCGACGAUCGGUGGCUGGUCUGAGAGGACGGUCAGCCAGACUGGGACUGAGAGACGGCCCAGACUCCUACGGGAGGCAGCAGUUAGGAAUUUUGGGCAAUGGGCGCAAGCCUGACCCAGCAACGCCGCGUGGGGGACGACGGCCUUCGGGUUGUAAACCCCUUUUCCGGGGGACGAUAGUGACGGUACCUCGGGAAGAAGCCCCGGCUAACUACGUGCCAGCAGCCGCGGUAAUACGUAGGGGGCCAGCGUUGUCCGGAUUCAUUGGGCGUAAAGCGCGCGCAGGCGGCCCGCGGCGUCGCUCGUGAAAGCCCCCGGCUCAACCGGGGGGGACGGGCGAAACGGGUGGGCUGGAGGCCGGUAGGGGGGAGCGGAAUUCCCGGUGUAGCGGUGGAAUGCGUAGAGAUCGGGAGGAACACCAGUGGCGAAGGCGGCUCCCUGGGCCGGGCCUGACGCUGAGGCGCGAAAGCGUGGGGAGCGAUCCGGAUUAGAUACCCGGGUAGUCCACGCCCUAAACGGUGCGGACUAGGUGUCGGGGGUAUCGACCCCCCCGGUGCCGGAGCUAACGCACUAAGUCCGCCGCCUGGGGACUACGGCCGCAAGGCUAAAACUCAAAGGAAUUGACGG
This 762-nucleotide ribosomal RNA is filed under the name uncultured bacterium. Its description in RNAcentral is "bacterial SSU rRNA". It matches the Rfam family "Bacterial small subunit ribosomal RNA", at positions 140 to 916 of the family's 1533-position model. The record is from RNAcentral.